GCGGCGGAUGGUCAAAGCGGUUCCCUCACGCAUCUCUCAUCCUCUCCCACGUUCUUCCCUAGGCCGGCGCAUUCUUCUCCCUCUCCGGCCAUUGUGCCCCCUACGGAGGCGGCCGGCAGCGUGGCGGAGGAGCUCAGAGCUUUCCCUCCUUCACGAUGCAGAUGGUGGCGAGGCCCUAAAUCUACUGUCUUCGAAAACACCAUGGGAUGGCCCUGAGGAUCAUGUACCUCAUGCUGGAGGGCUUCGCCGAGCUGUUCGUUGGCCGCCAUGGACACGGCCUGAUGCGCCGCGCUGUGUUUUGACUAGAGGCGGCGCGGGGUGCUGGUGGGGGGCUUAAGCUGCAGGAUUCGAUGUUGGAACUUGGACGGGAGCACUGCCCUGUCGUUGAGGGAUGCCGUGCGUAGCUGGAUGUUCAUGUGCCUCCUCUCCGGGAAACCAAUAGGAUAGCUACCUGGAGGCUUUCAAUGAAGAUCAUUGUGUGUGUCGCUUGAAUCUAGGAGUACAGGGAUCAGGCUACCCAACAAAAAAUGUUGAAGUUGGACUUCAUUUUUAUUACCGAGAGGGCAACACAAUGAAAGACUGUAUGCCGAUAAUUAUUAGUGGAUAUCAUUCCGUCAAAGACGAAUCAACAGCCAAAGAGGCAUGUUCUAUAUAGCAAUACUUCAGCGGGCCAUUAUGAAACUGCAUGCAUACUUCUAUUUUACAUCUUUGUUAAGCGGUAAACGAACUGAUGUAUUUCAGGGCAACACAAUGAAAGACUGUAUGCCGAUAAUUAUUAGUGGAUAUCAUUCCGUCAAAGACGAAUCAACAGCCAAAGAGGCAUGUUCACUUAAAAGAUGUUAGGUAUGGCUUUUGCAAUAUGUAGCAAUACUUCAGCGGGCCAUUAUGAAACUGCAUGCAUACUUCUAUUUUACAUCUUUGUUAAGCGGUAAAUCGCAAGCACCUUCCCUCUAGAUAUUGCAAGCUAUUAGUGAUGUUGUACAUAGAGGGCUACAGAGUAUGAUUUGGAUUGCUGUUGCAAAUUUCUACCUCAAAAGAUACUUUGUUAGUCCUAGCUUUGUUUUCGCCUUGCAAUUUUGCAUCUCCUAGAAUAAUAUGUUUGUCCUCAUGUCAGGACCUUAAAAGCAAUACAAAAAUUAUCAGGUUAUGUCGGCAUAUGAUUCUCACUUCAGUUUUCCAGUUUAUGAAUUUCUGUAAUUUUGAUUAUUCUUUGUUGCUCAACUUUUGAAGAGCAUAACGAUUGCAACUAUUUUAAUAGUUGUUGGUGUUCUACGUCUAUUGCUGCACAAUUGCAGAGCAUGUCUUCUGUCAUUUGCAAUGAUAACUUAAAGAAGAGAUCAAGGAUAAAGGUUUUGUUACACCUGGUUAUUGUACAUACUGUCACCGCUAUUCUUCUUAACUUAAACUGUGGCUGGACCCUAUUCACUGAAACAACUAUAUUGAUACAUUUCUCCAUUUACCUUUCUAAGAAUGUUUUUCUUUUAUUACAUUGCAGGAAACUUGCUAUGAGCACCCUUCAGUAUUAGUCUCCCCACAAGAUCAAAUGUGCAAUGAAUCACAUCAACGGGGGGAAAUAUUAGAUGAUAUUAGUCUUGACGUGGUACUAUACUACCACUCCUUAUGUAUUAAAUUUACAAACUUCGACAUUUUGUUCCAUUGGUUGACAGGAAUGUGUCCAGUUGAGGGGCAGCUCAGGCUGGGUUUCAGCCUAUUGGUGGUCCUGCUGUUGGUGAUCUUUUUGCCUAAAUUGAUUGGUAUGCAACUACCGAUUUUGCAUCUCCUUCAAAGAACUCUGCUAUCUGGAGAGAUCGUUCAGCCGUAGACAUAGCCGCCUUCGUUUAGAUAAAG
Molecule: long non-coding RNA, 1848 nt
Organism: Lolium perenne
Lineage: Eukaryota; Viridiplantae; Streptophyta; Magnoliopsida; Poales; Poaceae
Source: RefSeq, a predicted model, not a curated record